AUAUUGCACAAUGGGCGCAAGCCUGAUGCAGCCAUGCCGCGUGUAUGACGAAGGCCUUCGGGUUGUAAAGUACUUUCAGCGGGGGGGAAGGUAGUGAGGUUAAUAACCUCAUUCAUUGACGUUACCCGCAGAACAAGCACCGGCUAACUCCGUGCCAUCAGCCGCGGUAAUACGGAGGGUGCAAGCGUUAAUCGGAAUUACUGGGCGUAAAGCGCACGCAGGCGGCGUGUCAAGUCGGAUGUGAAAUCCCCGGGCUCAACCCGGGAACUGCAUUCGAAACUGGCAUGCUAGAGUCUUGUAGAGGGGGGUAGAAUUCCAGGUGUAGCGGUGAAAUGCGUAGAGAUCUGGAGGAAUACCGGUGGCGAAGGCGGCCCCCUGGACAAAGACUGACGCUCAGGUGCGAAAGCGUGGGGAGCAAAC
RNAcentral lists this ribosomal RNA (420 nucleotides) under uncultured bacterium. Its description in RNAcentral is "bacterial SSU rRNA". It matches the Rfam family "Bacterial small subunit ribosomal RNA", at positions 361 to 773 of the family's 1533-position model. The record is from RNAcentral.